This 2185-nucleotide ribosomal RNA is filed under the name Phacus platyaulax. RNAcentral describes it as "SSU rRNA". It matches the Rfam family "Eukaryotic small subunit ribosomal RNA". Lineage: Eukaryota; Euglenozoa; Euglenophyceae; Euglenales; Phacaceae. The record is from RNAcentral.
CAGUCAUAUGCUUCGUUCAAGGGCUAAGCCAUGCAAGUCUCAGAGUACACGGCUUUCAAGAGUGGGUCUGUGAAUGGCUCCUUACAUCAGCAGUCAUCUCCAUGAUAAAGUGUGGAUGGCACCACCUUGCCAGGUGCCCAGCUUGGACAUCCUCCAAAACCUAGUGGCUAAUACACGUACGAAACMGUCUGCUGCACCCAUGGCUCUGUUAGCACCACCGUGUGACUGGCUCUGCCAGUAGUGGAUUGCACCCAGCUGCUGAGAAGACCAGCGCCUGGAUAGGGCAGUGUGUUGUAGCUGACUCAGGCUGGUCCCAUUGUGGACAGUUGCACUGGCGGGAUGGUGGCUUCCAAGCCACAGCACUGCUUGAUCACACGAACUUCUGACCUAUCAGCUUGGACUGUGCUGUAGUGGACCACAGUGGCAGUGACGGGUAACAGGGAAUCAGGGUUUGAUUCUGGAGAGGGAGCCUGAGAGACGGCUACCACUACCAAGGUGGGCAGCAGGCACGCAAAUUGCCCAAUGCUGACACAGUCUGGUGAGGCAGCGACGAACUGUAGCAAUCCCGCUGGUCCUCAGUGGCUAGUGGGACUUGGAAUGGAUGCAAUCCAAACACAGUGAUGAGUAUCAACUGGAGGGCAAGUCUGGUGCCAGCAGCUGCGGUAAUUCCAGCUCCAAGGGUGUAUACUGACAUUGCUGCUGUUAAAACACUUGUAGUCGGAUGUUGAGUGGCAGGUCUGCCAAGUGGCUGGCUGGCAGGUGUCUGUGUUGUCUGGAGGGCCUCGGUCCAAAGGAGGGCGCAGCUNGGUCAGCUGGAACUCAACCCCUGGCAGUAUGUCCUGCUCUCGUAUCCAUGAUGGUGCGAAUGGCCCCUGCUCCAAGUCUCCUUCAGUGGGGAUCGAUGCGGUCUCAUGCCCAACGCUCGUGUGCUGACAUUGUGGGUCACAGUCCCGUGCUGUGCAGUUCCCCAGUCCACCACCGGGGUCCACCAUCUAUGACACCCUGGAGAACUCAGUGUGCCCAAAGCAACCGCUUGGCUGAAUGCUCGUCCAUGGAAUGUCAAAGCAAAGACCUGAUGUGGCCUAUGAGUUGUGCUGGCCUUGGUGCUCACCAAGGGGAAUCCAGUGCUGUGCCCUGGUAGUUGUGCCAGAGCUUCGGCUCUGUGCCCUGCUGCCCAGUGGUACAGUACGAAUCUGCUAUGAUGGGACUGCUCAGGGUGAAGGGUAUGGCUGCGCUAGAGGUGAAAUUCUUAGACCGCUGCUGGACCAACUGCAGCGAAGGCGCUCUGCAAGUGCAUGUUCAUCGAUCAAGAAUGAGAGUGUGGGGAGCAAAGAUGAUCAGACACCGUCGUAGUCCACAACCGUAAACCAUGCCAGCUCGGUGCUGACUGUGCAAGAUCUUUGACACUGCCAGUGCCACUCCCCCCACAACGAGAAAUCCAAGCCUUUGGGUUCAGGGGGGAGUACUGUUGCAAGGCUGAAACUUAAAGGAAUUGACGGAAUGGCACCACCAGGCGUGGAGUAUGCGGCUUAAUUUGACUCAACACGGGGAAUGUUACCAGGUCAGGACACUGCAAGGAUGGACAGAUUGAGAGCUCUUUCUUGAUUCUCUGGAUGGUGGUGCAUGGCCGCUCCUGAUUGGUGGAGUGAUUUGUCUGGUUGAUUCCGAUAACGAGUGAGAUCUCUGCCUCCCAAUAGCCCCUGUCUCGCAUUUGGUAGAGUGGGCAUAGCCAAUCCCCAGUGGGUCUCGGCCCAUCUGGGGAGGCUACUGCUGCUCGAGAGUACCAGGGCCAAGCUUCUCUGAGGUGCUGUGUGCGCCACCAAGCACAUGCAUGCUAGAGCCAACAGCAGGUCUGUGAUGCUCCCAGAUGUCCUGGGCCGCACGCGCACUACAUUGGUCCAGUGAAUAUGUGAUGCCACUCGCUCGUCGAGUCCUGCCUGGAAGUGGGUGGGAAACCCUUGGAGCCUGGUCCGUACUGGGGAUAGAUGCUUGCAACUGUCUGCCUUGAACGAGGAAUGCCUAGUAUGCGUGAGUCAUCAGCUCACACAGAUUACGUCCCUGCCAUUUGUACACACCGCCCGUCGUUGCUACCGAUGGUAGCUGGAUAGAGCCAUCUGGAGGCUUCAGCCACCCCGUGUGUGCUGUGCCAAACUCGGGCAAUGUCCUGCUACUAGAGGAAGCAAAA